CCCUUAGAUGUUCUGGGCCGCACACGCGCUACACUGAAGGAGGCAGCGUGUACUCCUGGAUCGAAAGAUUUGGGUAACCCGCGAAUCUCCUUCGUGCUAGGGAUUGAGGUUUGCAAUUAUCCUUCAUGAACGAGGAAUUCCCAGUAAGUGCAAGUCAUAAGCUUGCGCUGACUACGUCCCUGCCCUUUGUACACACCGCCCGUCGCUACUACCGAUUGAAUGAUUUAGUGAGGACUUCGGACUGGGACCGAUGCGGCUUUCGGGCUGCGUCGGUAUUCUGGAAAGAUGUCCAAACUGUAUCAUUUAGAGGAAGUAAAUGUCGUAACA
Molecule: ribosomal RNA, 327 nt
Filed under: uncultured eukaryote
Lineage: Eukaryota
Description: partial 18S ribosomal RNA
Rfam family: Eukaryotic small subunit ribosomal RNA
Source: RNAcentral